GGGGCGGUGGCGGAAUUGGCAGACGCAGGGGACUUAAAAUCCCCCGGUGCAAACCAUGUGGGUUCGAUUCCCACCCGCCCCA
This 82-nucleotide transfer RNA is filed under the name Chloroflexota bacterium. RNAcentral's name for it is "Chloroflexi bacterium tRNA-Leu". It matches the Rfam family "tRNA". Rfam says of the family: Transfer RNA (tRNA) molecules are approximately 80 nucleotides in length. RNAcentral also lists the same sequence under 1 other name. The record is from RNAcentral. Lineage: Bacteria; Bacillati; Chloroflexota.